Molecule: unclassified non-coding RNA, 253 nt
Filed under: uncultured Gammaproteobacteria bacterium
Lineage: Bacteria; Pseudomonadati; Pseudomonadota; Gammaproteobacteria
Description: contains 16S-23S intergenic spacer region
Rfam family: Bacterial small subunit ribosomal RNA
Source: RNAcentral
UACGUAGGGUGCAGGCGUUAAUCGGAAUUACUGGGCGUAAAGCGUGCGCAGGCGGUUUGUUAAGACAGAUGUGAAAUCCCCGGGCUUAACCUGGGAACUGCGUUUGUUACUGGCAAGCUUGAGUGCGGCAGAGGGGGGUGGAAUUCCACGUGUAGCAGUGAAAUGCGUAGAGAUGUGGAGGAACACCGAUGGCGAAGGCAGCCCCCUGGGUCGACACUGACGCUCAUGCACGAAAGCGUGGGGAGCAAACAGG